CAGCGCCACGAGUGGGAGUCGGUAUUAUUGGGCCUAAAGAGUCCGUAGCAUGUUUGAUAAAUUAUUUGUGAAAUCGUACAGCUUAACUGUGCGGAUUGCAAGUAAGACUGUCUUACUAGAGACCGGGAGAAGUUAGAGGUAUUCAUGGGGGAGCGGUAAAAUGCGAGAAUCCCUUGAGGACCACCUGUUGCGAAGGCGUCUAACAAUAACGGGUCUGACUGUGAGGGACGAAAGCUAGGGGAGCGAACCGGAUUAGAUACCCGAGUAGUCC
RNAcentral lists this ribosomal RNA (271 nucleotides) under uncultured archaeon. RNAcentral's name for it is "partial 16S ribosomal RNA". It matches the Rfam family "Archaeal small subunit ribosomal RNA", at positions 477 to 747 of the family's 1478-position model. The record is from RNAcentral.